This 24-nucleotide unclassified non-coding RNA is filed under the name Mus musculus (house mouse). RNAcentral describes it as "oocyte_clustered_small_RNA10815". Lineage: Eukaryota; Metazoa; Chordata; Mammalia; Rodentia; Muridae. The record is from RNAcentral.
CAUCUACCGAACAGGAAGGACCCU